RNAcentral lists this long non-coding RNA (406 nucleotides) under Mytilus galloprovincialis (Mediterranean mussel). The record is from RNAcentral. Lineage: Eukaryota; Metazoa; Mollusca; Bivalvia; Mytilida; Mytilidae.
AAUUAAGACAGGAAAACAUAUUCAGAAAUUAAAAUCCCUUGAAAAACAGAUGGGAAUUUAAAUGCUCAAGAAUGGUACACAAUUCAUCUGAAGCAGCAUGACCACAAAUCAUUUUCUUCCAUCACUGAAAAAGGCAAUACAUAUACGACCCUUUGAAAGGAAUUGAAUUGGGAGUGGGAUAAAACAGAAUAGUAUAAAAAGACAAAAGCAUCAUAAGUGCUGCAGAAAACAAAUGAAUGCAAGCAUAAGACGACAUAAUCAAACAUUUUAUGGAAUAUAAACCCGUCUAUUGGUAUGAAGACUGUCAAUCUAAUUAAAAACCGAUCUCUCAUCGCUCCCGUUUUCUGAUAUGUCGCGUGGGAGAUCUAACGAAACCGGCUUUGAGGUCACAUGUGAGUGAACUAAA